RNAcentral lists this ribosomal RNA (492 nucleotides) under uncultured bacterium. RNAcentral's name for it is "partial 16S ribosomal RNA". It matches the Rfam family "Bacterial small subunit ribosomal RNA", at positions 29 to 507 of the family's 1533-position model. The record is from RNAcentral.
AGUGAACGCUGGCGGUAGGCCUAACACAUGCAAGUCGAACGGCAGCACAGUAAGAGCUUGCUCUUACGGGUGGCGAGUGGCGGACGGGUGAGGAAUACAUCGGAAUCUACUUUUUCGUGGGGGAUAACGUAGGGAAACUUACGCUAAUACCGCAUACGACCUACGGGUGAAAGCAGGGGAUCUUCGGACCUUGCGCGAUUGAAUGAGCCGAUGUCGGAUUAGCUAGUUGGCGGGGUAAAGGCCCACCAAGGCGACGAUCCGUAGCUGGUCUGAGAGGAUGAUCAGCCACACUGGAACUGAGACACGGUCCAGACGCCUACGGGAGGCAGCAGUGGGGAAUAUUGGACAAUGGGCGCAAGCCUGAUCCAGCCAGACCGCGUGGGUGAAGAAGGCCUUCGGGUUGUAAAGCCCUUUUGUUGGGAAAGAAAAGCAGCAGGUUAAGACCCCGCUGUUCUGACGGUACCCAAAGAAUAAGCACCGGCUAACUUCGUG